Molecule: small RNA, 564 nt
Filed under: Vigna angularis var. angularis
Lineage: Eukaryota; Viridiplantae; Streptophyta; Magnoliopsida; Fabales; Fabaceae
Description: Non-protein coding transcript
Source: RNAcentral
GUUGAUUAUUUUUCCAUUAGAAAGUAGACUCGAAUAGCUUCGAUUCGAGUACUCAUACGCGUAAUUCCGGCAUCGGGAAGGGGUUUAACAGGACUGACAAAGUUGUCCCAGUAAGUGAACGCGUUUUUGACGCGUUUUGAACGCGUUUUUGACUGGGUAAACGCGUUUUUACUGUUUAAACGCGUUUUUACUAUUUAUACACGUUUUUAUGGUUAUUUAAGAGUGUUUUGGGGCUGAGAGAAGUUCCUAAGUUGAACCGGAGGUCAGAGCACGGAGGUUUUGAAGCAGAGAGACUUUGGAGUUCUGUUUUGAGUCGGGGGAACGUUCGCAAAGAGUUUUUGGAAGAUUAGCUAAGGAGAAAACCAUGGCGAGGAUGUUCGUGUGGAGACAGCUUUGGAAGGAGGUAGCGAUGCUACUGUUUAGUCUUCAUAGGACUUUCUUAAUAAUUCCAUGUAUUUCGGAAUACCUUUCCUUUCACGUUUCCAACUUAAACUAUUAGUGUGUUUAAGUUUUAAAUUCUGACUCUGUUUGGGAUGAUUGUAAUCCUAAUUACUCUAAACUGCU